RNAcentral lists this ribosomal RNA (483 nucleotides) under uncultured bacterium. RNAcentral's name for it is "bacterial SSU rRNA". It matches the Rfam family "Bacterial small subunit ribosomal RNA", at positions 30 to 507 of the family's 1533-position model. The record is from RNAcentral.
AUUGAACGCUGGCGGCAUGCCUUACACAUGCAAGUCGAACGGUAACGGGCCUUCGGGUGCCGACGAGUGGCGAACGGGUGAGUAAUGCAUCGGAACGUACCUUUCAGUGGGGGAUAACGUAGCGAAAGUUACGCUAAUACCGCAUAUUCUGUGAGCAGGAAAGCAGGGGGAUCGCAAGACCUUGCGCUGAUUGAGCGGCCGAUGUCAGAUUAGCUAGUUGGUGAGGUAAAGGCUCACCAAGGCGACGAUCUGUAGCGGGUCUGAGAGGAUGAUCCGCCACACUGGAACUGAGACACGGUCCAGACUCCUACGGGAGGCAGCAGUGGGGAAUUUUGGACAAUGGGGGCAACCCUGAUCCAGCCAUGCCGCGUGAGUGAAGAAGGCCUUCGGGUUGUAAAGCUCUUUCGGCCGGGAAGAAAUCGCAUGGGCUAAUACCCUGUGCGGAUGACGGUACCGGCAUAAGAAGCACCGGCUAACUACGUG